UGGGGAAUUUUGGACAAUGGGGGAAACCCUGAUCCAGCCAUCCCGCGUGUGCGAUGAAGGCCUUCGGGUUGUAAAGCACUUUUGGCAGGAAAGAAACGUCAUGGGUUAAUACCCCGUGAAACUGACGGUACCUGCAGAAUAAGCACCGGCUAACUACGUUCCAGCAGCCGCGGUAAUACGUAGGGUGCAAGCGUUAAUCGGAAUUACUGGGCGUAAAGCGUGCGCAUGCGGUUCGGAAAGAAAAGUGUGAAAUCCCAGAGCUCAACUUUAGAACUACAUUUUUAACUACCGGGCUAGGGUGUGUCAGAGGGAGGUGGAAUUCCGCGUGUAGCAGUGAAAUGCGUAGAUAUGCGGAGGAACACCGAUGACAAAGGCAGCCUACUGGGAUAACACUGACACUCAUGCACAAAAGCGUGGGGAGCAAACAGG
Molecule: ribosomal RNA, 429 nt
Filed under: Acidobacteriota bacterium
Lineage: Bacteria; Pseudomonadati; Acidobacteriota
Description: Acidobacteria bacterium partial 16S ribosomal RNA
Rfam family: Bacterial small subunit ribosomal RNA
Source: RNAcentral